UACGAAGGGGGCUAGCGUUGUUCGGAUUUACUGGGCGUAAAGGGCGCGUAGGCGGAUUUUUAAGUCAGGGGUGAAAUCCCAAGGCUCAACCUUGGAACUGCCUUUGAUACUGGAAGUCUUGAGCUCGGGAGAGGUGAGUGGAACUGCGAGUGUAGAGGUGAAAUUCGUAGAUAUUCGCAAGAACACCAGUGGCGAAGGCGGCUCACUGGCCCGAUACUGACGCUGAGGUGCGAAAGCGUGGGGAGCAAACAGGG
This 254-nucleotide ribosomal RNA is filed under the name uncultured bacterium. RNAcentral's name for it is "partial 16S ribosomal RNA". It matches the Rfam family "Bacterial small subunit ribosomal RNA", at positions 524 to 777 of the family's 1533-position model. The record is from RNAcentral.